This 589-nucleotide ribosomal RNA is filed under the name Escherichia coli. RNAcentral describes it as "partial 23S ribosomal RNA". It matches the Rfam family "Bacterial large subunit ribosomal RNA", at positions 1 to 630 of the family's 2925-position model. Lineage: Bacteria; Pseudomonadati; Pseudomonadota; Gammaproteobacteria; Enterobacterales; Enterobacteriaceae. The record is from RNAcentral.
GUUAAGCGACUAAGCGUACACGGUGGAUGCCCUGGCAGUCAGAGGCGAUGAAGGACGUGCUAAUCUGCGAUAAGCGUCGGUAAGGUGAUAUGAACCGUUAUAACCGGCGAUUUCCGAAUGGGGAAACCCAGUGUGUUUCGACACACUAUCAUUAACUGAAUCCAUAGGUUAAUGAGGCGAACCGGGGGAACUGAAACAUCUAAGUACCCCGAGGAAAAGAAAUCAACCGAGAUUCCCCCAGUAGCGGCGAGCGAACGGGGAGCAGCCCAGAGCCUGAAUCAGUGUGUGUGUUAGUGGAAGCGUCUGGAAAGGCGCGCGAUACAGGGUGACAGCCCCGUACACAAAAAUGCACAUGCUGUGAGCUCGAUGAGUAGGGCGGGACACGUGGUAUCCUGUCUGAAUAUGGGGGGACCAUCCUCCAAGGCUAAAUACUCCUGACUGACCGAUAGUGAACCAGUACCGUGAGGGAAAGGCGAAAAGAACCCCGGCGAGGGGAGUGAAAAAGAACCUGAAACCGUGUACGUACAAGCAGUGGGAGCACGCUUAGGCGUGUGACUGCGUACCUUUUGUAUAAUGGGUCAGCGACUUA